This 200-nucleotide long non-coding RNA is filed under the name Solanum tuberosum (potato). RNAcentral's name for it is "long non-coding RNA (STUB_LNC005008)". The record is from RNAcentral. Lineage: Eukaryota; Viridiplantae; Streptophyta; Magnoliopsida; Solanales; Solanaceae.
UCUCUACUCCAGUCGGUGACCUAGUUAUAGCUAGACGGGUAUACAGAAAUUGCCCUGUCACAUUCUCUCAGAAAGUCACCUCAGUAGAUCUUGUAGAGUUAGAAAUGGUAGACUUCGAUGUCAUUCUAGGCAUGGAUUGGUUACAUUCCUGUUAUGCCUCAGUCGUUUGUAGAACUAGGAUUGUUCGUUUUCAGUUUCCA